RNAcentral lists this ribosomal RNA (301 nucleotides) under uncultured bacterium. RNAcentral's name for it is "partial 16S ribosomal RNA". It matches the Rfam family "Bacterial small subunit ribosomal RNA", at positions 509 to 807 of the family's 1533-position model. The record is from RNAcentral.
CAGCAGCCGCGGUAAUGCGAGGGGGGCAAGCGUUGUUCGGAAUUAUUGGGCGUAAAGGGCUCGCAGGCGGUUUCUUAAGUCUGAUGUGAAAGCCCCCGGCUCAACCGGGGAGGGUCAUUGGAAACUGGGAAACUUGAGUGCAGAAGAGGAGAGUGGAAUUCCACGUGUAGCGGUGAAAUGCGUAGAGAUGUGGAGGAACACCAGUGGCGAAGGCGACUCUCUGGUCUGUAACUGACGCUGAGGAGCGAAAGCGUGGGGAGCGAACAGGAUUAGAUACCCCUGUAGUCCCUGUCUCUUAUAC